AACCAAAUAUUUAAUAUAAGAUAAUAAAAUAUAACACAUAUAAUAUUCCUAUCAAGAGAUAAAGAUAAAUUUAUAAAAAUAUACGCACUCAUAGAUUUAGUAGACCGCGAACUUUGCUUCAUAUAUUCCAUUGAAAGCGUAUGCUAUACAGCCGACAUGUGGGCGAAUCAAUGUAACACACUCGGUAAGGUCUGAACACUAUUAUGCGUAUUGAACUUGGGACAGUGCUAUUAAGAAUUGUAAGCUUUUGCGUGGGCGGCAAAUCUUCCCGGUCAUUCGGCAUUGAAAUUAUUAUAUACAAUUGGGAAAAAUAUGUAAGUACCAAUUAAUCAAGUGGACCUAAAUAUUUGGAGUGAUUGUAAGAGUGACUUCCAAGCAAAUUUUCAUACUUUUUGAGGUUUUCAUUCAUGUGGAAAGUGGUGGCAGACGACCGGCGGCGAUUACAAAAAAAAUGUAAAUACUGCCCUCUAUAGCCAACUCUCUUUGAUGACGACAAAUUACUAUGUUGACACGGAAGUGCAGACUUGCGUAGACAGAACAGACUAGCGAGAUCUUGCUUAGCGAGAGAGGCUUGUUGUAUUUGCAGCCGAAAACAUUGCUUAAAAUCAUUUAAUUUAUGGAUUAUAUCGAGUUGGAUUUACGAUUGAGAAAAAUGUUGCUACUCAAGUACUGCGGACGUUUCGAUAAUGUAGGAGGCCUGGUCUGUGGAGCAAUUGGCAAGAUGACAUUAACCAAAGAGGACUUUUUGAAAAAAAAAACAGUAUUGGGAAAUUUUACAUUUCCUCUGAAAUUUCUGUACAAGAAAUUCUGUGUAAAUUGAAAAGCAGACACACAGCUCGUGGAAUUUUAAGUUAAAUUUGAAGUGCAUUGGUUGCUCUUACGAUGUUCCGCAGUUCGAUACAAAGGCUGACGAAUUACGAUCAUCAGUGGACCUACCCCAACGCUGUAGGCGGGAAACCGUCGAUAAUUUAGCCAAUGGUAAUAUGAUAAAAGUAGACUUGUUUGAUAUACACCAUAAUAUAGUUUGAGGUCUUUAUUUGUUAACAGGAGUUUGUUUUUGCUGGAUGCGUUCACCACUCGACCACGUCAGGAGUAUGUUGUGAUAUAACCCUUACUAUAUUGUGUCUCGUGACGAUUUUUUGCAUACGUCACAACGUCAUGGCCCGUGAUGUUUAGUCCUCGCGUUCUCCCUUCCAUCCCAUCAGAAGCAUCCGGAUAACGUCAGCGCAGUUUCUGCAACAUAACGCAUUCAUAAUGGUGACUUGCUAUCCGAUCCAUGCAAUGAUUUUGUGAAUUAGCAGAGUGAGCCCAAGAGAUGCUCGAUUUGUCGAGCAGCACGGAGUGGUACGACUCGACUGGUUGUGGUACAGCUAAGGCUGAUCAGCUGUAAAUGUGUUGCAUCGUUAAGCACCUUUUUGACGAAGGAAGAGCUCAUACCGAAGGACAGUUUCCAUUAUAUCUGUAAAAAAAAAAACAAAUCGAAAAAAUACAUUUGAAAUUCAAUUUUGUUAUGUAGGCCUAUUAAAAUGACGGUAAAUAAAAUUGUUCCUGUACUUUUAUAGGGGUAAGUAAACACGAAUAGGCCUACUAAUGCCUGUACAUUAGAUACAAUACUAAUUAUUAAGCCAAAUAAAAUACAGUAAUAUGUAUUUUUUGUCAUUUUGCAAAACAUAGAAUACUGUAUGUAUGAAUCUGAUAUCAUCGUAAUAGUGACGUGCGCGUUUGAACUACGGUAUGCCUUCAUACCGCCAUAACUUUGUGUGGUCCUGUUUACUGUUGUAUGUGUAUUUAUGAAGAAGGAAAUAAGCCUAUCAUUUCUCAACCCAUACGAGAAACGUAAUUUUUUGGAAUCGGCCGAGUCCAAUGGGGGAAUAAUUUGUAAAAUUCGCUCUGGAUAGAGUUUUGGGGUGAACAUAAUAAAUAGGCCUACUUAUUUUUCUUUUACAAUGACAUGUCGAUUUGGUUUUCCGCAAUUCGCACGCAAGACAGAAAAAGAAAAAAUUCAUGUUUUGUGCAUGUACGAUAUUACGGUAAACUCGGGGUUAUUUUUUGGUUAUUGAGAGAUGAUCAGAUGUUAGUAAAAAUAACGGUACAAAUGUGUAGCUGUCACCAUGGUUUUUAGUAACUAUUGUUCUUAAGGUCUUAGACAUGUUUUCAAGAUGUACUGUACAUUUUUGUGUCUGUGCUUUGAUAGGGGGCCUAUUGAAUAACUUAUUAUUAUUUUUUUAUCUGGCUGAUUCUUUGUUCAGAAUAUUUUGUAUAAUAUUAUAAGUAUAUUUCUGUAACGUUUGUGUGUGUUUUUGUUUUUUUUUUCUUUUUUUUAUUGAAUAAAAAUAUUGAUAAUGACAGUACACCAAGCAAUUAUUUAAAGUGUAUCCACGAGUCAUUUAAACGCAUAUUUGAAUAGUAUUAAGGGAUUAUUACACCGGUGUAAUUUUUUUGUCAGGCACUCAACCGCUUAUAGCAAUGCUUGGUACGAUUAUAAAAUCAUGUUAUUCUUUCGAUUAACGGUUAUAGGUGUAGGCCUAUAAAUUGAAAAUGAAAUUGAAUACGGUAUCAGUAUAUACAUAAAAUUGAAUCACAACAAUGCUCAAAUAGAACCAUGUGAUGUUUUAAUGGUGUCAAGCAUAGCCCUUCGACGAAGAGUUACUUUUAAGUUGUAUGAAGAAAAAGGUCUCUGGUGGGAUUCGAACCUGUAGUUUGUCUCUAUCUAGGCGAGUGUCAUACCGCUAGACCAACGAGACCUAUUUUUGUUUAAACCAUGUUUAUACUGUAAAGGGUAACCCUUCCAGCGUAUCCAUGGAAGGUCGGCUGAUAUUCAGGGGCCCUCUUAAACAAAUGAAAUCGUGAUUCUUUUAUCAGCCAAGUCCCUUUAUGAGGCUUAGGGAGUGGAGUUGUUUUCGGUCGUGAGAAAAAGUCUGCUGUCACGUGAAUUGAACCCAGGACCCUGGGAUUAGAAGACAAUUAUCUUAA
Long non-coding RNA from Anneissia japonica, 2973 nucleotides. RefSeq lists it as uncharacterized. The transcript is spliced from 3 exons. NCBI's taxonomy places the organism in Eukaryota, Metazoa, Echinodermata, Crinoidea, Comatulida, Comatulidae. The record is from RefSeq and is a predicted model, not a curated record.